Small nuclear RNA from Telopea speciosissima, 102 nucleotides. The record is from RefSeq and is a predicted model, not a curated record. Lineage: Eukaryota; Viridiplantae; Streptophyta; Magnoliopsida; Proteales; Proteaceae.
GUCUCUGCGGAGAUAUUUGAUAAAAUUGGAAUGAUACAGAUAAGAUUAGCAUGGCCCUGCACAAUGAUGACACGCACAAACCAACACAUGGUCCAAGUUUUA